GUAAAACCUCAGCCUUCCAAGCUGAUGACGAGGGUUCGAUUCCCUUCACCCGCUCCA
RNAcentral lists this transfer RNA (57 nucleotides) under Halobacillus trueperi. Its description in RNAcentral is "tRNA-Ser". It matches the Rfam family "tRNA", at positions 18 to 71 of the family's 71-position model. From Rfam's summary of the family: Transfer RNA (tRNA) molecules are approximately 80 nucleotides in length. Their secondary structure includes four short double-helical elements and three loops (D, anti-codon, and T loops). Lineage: Bacteria; Bacillati; Bacillota; Bacilli; Caryophanales; Bacillaceae. The record is from RNAcentral.